AGGGCAUGCGGUGGAUGCCUUGGGAGAAGUGACCGAAGAAGGACGUAGCAGACCGCGUUAGGCCUCGGGUAGGUGUCAAGCAACCUGUGAUCCGGGGAUUUCCGAAUGGAGCAAUCCUCCCGCCAAUUUAGGGCUGGUAUAUCAAAUAUCCCAACCGAUAAAUAAUUCGUUAAUUAGUCGGGUGGGCAGUAGCGAUAUACGAGCUUUAAAUUGGCGGGAACCCAUUGCUGAAUACAUAGGCGAUGUGGAGGAAACCGUGCGAACUGAAACAUCUUAGUGCAAGGCUAAGAACUUAUCGUUCGCAGCCGAAGCGAAAGCAAGUGCGAAUAGCGCGAUUGAAGUAGCAGGGAUUAGACCCGAAACCGGGUGACCUAACCAUGGUCAGGCUGAAGCUGCCGUAAAAAGCAGUGGAGGGCCGCACCCACCUACGUUGAAAAGUGGGGGGAUGAACUGUGGUUAGCGGAGAAAUUCCAAUCGAACCCGGAGAUAGCUGGUUCUCCCCGAAAUAUAUUUAGGUAUAGCCUCAGAGCGUUCCCGGCAGUGGUAGAGCUACUGAAUGGAUUCGGGCGGUUUACCGUACCGCGUCCAAUUAAACUCCGAAUACUGUCCGGUUAAGCCCGGGAGUCAGAAAACGGCGGCUAAGCGUCGUAUGUCGAAAGGGAAACAGCCCAGACCGCCAUCUAAGGUCCCUAAAUUCAGCUAAGUGUGAAAGGAAGUGGAGACACAUGAACAACCAGGAGGUUGGCUUAGAAGCAGCCAUCCUUCAAAGAAAGCGUAACAGCUCACUGGUCGAUGUGUGUCUGCGCCGAAAAUUUAACGGGGCUAAGCUGAAUACCGAAGAUGCGGGCUCUGCCGUAAGGCAGAGCGGUAGGGGAGCGUUCUGCGCAGCAGUGAAGUUUAACCGCGAGGUUGGAUGGAGCGCGCAGAAGUGAGAAUGUUGGCACGAGUAGCGAGAUUAGAGUGAAAAACUCUAACGCCGAUUUAUCCGAGGUUUCCUGGGCGACGGUUUUCGACCCAGGGUUAGUCGGUCCUAAGCCGAGGCCGCAAGGCGUAGGCGAUGGACAACAGGUUAAUAUUCCUGUACUGCUUAAUGUUCGCCCAAGACAAGCAAACUGGUAGGCCAGAUGAUCGUCCCGCCAAUUUAGGGCUGGUAUCUUGGUAGUUUCUUAAUCGUUUUACGUUUAUAUGUAAUUGGUCGAGAGAUAACCAUAGGUACAAGCGUUAAAUUGGCGGGAUGGAUGCUGGUUCUGCUGGUCUGCACGUCUAGCAAUGGGGUGACGCAAGUUGGUAGGCCGAGCUGAGAUAGGUUUCUCAGUCUAAGCAACAAGUGGGUUCCUUUGGCAAAUCCGGGGAACGUCCGAGCAAUCGGAGAACCGCGAGUUGUAAUGGAAAGUUGAGUCUUUCGGGACAAGGCGAUUUGGCUGAUCUAAGUUGACCAGAAAAACCUCUAGCGAGAACAUUGAGCAUCCGUACCUAAACCGACACAGGUGGAUAGGGCGAGUAGCCUAAGGCGCACGAGAGAACCCUCUUUAAGGAACUCGGCAAAAUAGCGUCCGUAACUUCGGAAUAAGGACUGCCCCCCACUUUCUGCGCAUAGCGCUCAUGCGCUAAGCAACGCAAGUUGGUGCGUAGAAAGUGGGGGGCCGCAGCUAAAGACAUCAGGCGACUGUUUAGCAAAAACACAGGUCUCUGCUAACUCGAAAGAGGAGGUAUAGGGGCUGACGCUUGCCCGGUGCCAGAAGGUCACGUAGAGGGGUUAUCCCGCCAAUUUAGAGCUGGUAUUCGCGUAGCAGCACACGAGUACGAACUUUAAAUUGGCGGGAGAAGCUCCAACACUAAGCCCUGGUGAACGGCGGCCGUAACUAUAACGGUCCUAAGGUAGCGAAAUUCCUUGUCGGGUAAGUUCCGACCCGCACGAAUAGCGUAACGGUCUGAUGACUGUCUCAAAGAGGGACUCGGCGAAACUACAUUGCCGGUGAAGAUGCCGGCUAUCCGCAGCAAGACAAAAAGACCCCGUGGAGCUUUACUACAACUUGACGCUGGGUUAGGAGCUGGUUUGUGUAGGAUAGGUGGGAGACUGUGAAGCCCCGACGCUAGUCGGGGUGGAGUCAACGGUGAAAUACCACCCUGACUAUUUCUUAAUCCUAACCUCUAGCCAUUAUCUGGCAGGGGGACAGCGUUUGGUGGGUAGUUUAACUGGGGCGGUUGCCUCCCAAAAAGUAACGGAGGCGUUCAAAGGUUCCCUAGUCCCGGAUGGAAAUCGGGACGAUAGCGCAAUAGUAUAUGGGAGCUUAACUGCGAGACCUACAAGUCAAGCAGAUGCGAAAGCAGGAUAUAGUGAUCCGACGGUUGCACAUGGGUGCGCCGAAGCUCAACGAAUAAAAGUUACCCCGGGGAUAACAGGCUGAUCGCUUCCAAGAGUCCAUAUCGACGAAGCGGUUUGGCACCUCGAUGUCGGCUCGUCACAUCCUGGAGCUGGAGCAGGUUCCAAGGGUUCGGCUGUUCGCCGAUUAAAGUGGCACGCGAGCUGGGUUCAGAACGUCGUGAGACAGUGGGUAAUUAUUCGCUCUAGGAGCGAAUAAUGUAUGACUGCGCUGUCUAUAAACUUGGCUAAAUGCUGGAAACUCUGAGUAUCUCUAUACUACUAUUGCCAAUAUGGCAGCCUAACUGACAAAAGUCAGGUGCUGGUAGUUAGGGAUCGUCACGAUUUGCUGACUAAAGUAAUCCCGUUUUUUCGACACUAUCCCCUCUUGUCUUCCAAACAAACUGAUUUUCAAAAGUUUGCUGAAAUCGUCUCCGCUAUGCGAACCAACCACCAUCUUGAAAAGAAUGGCCUCAAGAAAAUUAUUAUUAAGGCCUUCUCGAUGAAUGGGGGAGGGAGGUAUCGCAAGCUAGACAAAGACAAAAUUCUUGCCAAUUUAGAAUCCUCAGAGACUAUAUGCCAAGUCCUGCCACACGGCAGGAAAGAUAUAGUCCGAACUGCAUAGCGAUAUGUAGAAUCCUACCGAAAGGUAUGGUCACCACAGAGCAACAUCAGUAUUGGAUGUGGUUUGCAAAGUAACAAAUUGUCGGUCUCUAUCUGCUGUGGACGAAGGAAAUUUGAGCGAAGCCCACCCCAAGAUAGAUUUCCAUCCCCCGCAAGGGGGGAGAAACUCCAAGGAGACCACUUGGUUGAUAGGCGACAGGUGUAAGCCCAGUAAUGGGUUCAGCCGAGUCGUACUAAUA
RNAcentral lists this ribosomal RNA (3225 nucleotides) under candidate division Kazan bacterium GW2011_GWA1_50_15. Its description in RNAcentral is "23S ribosomal RNA". It matches the Rfam family "Bacterial large subunit ribosomal RNA". The record is from RNAcentral.